Molecule: long non-coding RNA, 206 nt
Filed under: Lathyrus oleraceus (garden pea)
Lineage: Eukaryota; Viridiplantae; Streptophyta; Magnoliopsida; Fabales; Fabaceae
Description: Pisum sativum (pea) long non-coding RNA (PSAT_LNC023452)
Source: RNAcentral
UGAUGAUUGUUUCUUUUUAUUUUUUCUUGUAAAAAUUAUUUGAUUAAACUCUCUCACCGAUGAUUACAAAGUCCUAAUUUUUUCUAUUAAAAUUGUUUUCUACUUUUUAUUUUUCCAAAAUCACAUGAUGAUCAUCUGAUGGUUUAUUUUUCUAUUUCAUUAUUCUUUUAUUUUUUCUUAUAGUUUUUUAGAUUAUCUACUAAUAU